AGAGUAAUAAUUAAGGAGCCGCUAACUACCUUUACAGUGGAAAUACCACUUUACUCUU
This 58-nucleotide transfer RNA is filed under the name Neoalcathous huangshanana. RNAcentral's name for it is "tRNA-Ser". The record is from RNAcentral. Lineage: Eukaryota; Metazoa; Arthropoda; Insecta; Hemiptera; Fulgoridae.